UAAAGCGGGUGAAAAGCCCGCUCGCCGGAAGACCAAGGGUUCCUGUCCAACGUUAAUCGGGGCAGGGUGAGUCGACCCCUAAGGCGAGGCCGAAAGGCGUAGUCGAUGGGAAACGGGUUAAUAUUCCCGUACUUGGUGUUACUGCGAAGGGGGGACGGAGAAGGCUAUGUUGGCCGGGCGACGGUUGUCCCGGUUUAAGCGUGUAGGUGUGUGUUCCAGGUAAAUCCGGUUCACUUUAACACUGAGGCGUGAUGACGAGGCACUACGGUGCUGAAGCAACAAAUGCCCUGCUUCCAGGAAAAGCCUCUAAGCAUCAGGUAACAUCAAAUCGUACCCCAAACCGACACAGGUGGUCAGGUAGAGAAUACCAAGGCGCUUGAGAGAACUCGGGUGAAGGAACUAGGCAAAAUGGUGCCGUAACUUCGGGAGAAGGCACGCUGACAC
RNAcentral lists this ribosomal RNA (444 nucleotides) under Salmonella enterica. RNAcentral's name for it is "partial 23S ribosomal RNA". It matches the Rfam family "Bacterial large subunit ribosomal RNA", at positions 1313 to 1757 of the family's 2925-position model. The record is from RNAcentral. Lineage: Bacteria; Pseudomonadati; Pseudomonadota; Gammaproteobacteria; Enterobacterales; Enterobacteriaceae. RNAcentral also lists the same sequence under 1 other name.